UACGGAGAGUGCGAGCGUUAUCCGGAUUUAUUGGGUUUAAAGGGUGCGUAGGCGGAGUGCCAAGUCAGCGGUAAAAAUUCGGGGCUCAACCCCGUCGUGCCGUUGAAACUGGCGCCCUUGAGUGGGCGAGAAGUAUGCGGAAUGCGUGGUGUAGCGGUGAAAUGCAUAGAUAUCACGCAGAACCCCGAUUGCGAAGGCAGCAUACCGGCGCCCGACUGACGCUGAAGCACGAAAGCGUGGGUAUCGAACAGG
This 252-nucleotide ribosomal RNA is filed under the name uncultured bacterium. RNAcentral's name for it is "partial 16S ribosomal RNA". It matches the Rfam family "Bacterial small subunit ribosomal RNA", at positions 524 to 776 of the family's 1533-position model. The record is from RNAcentral.